RNAcentral lists this transfer RNA (77 nucleotides) under Methylotenera sp. Its description in RNAcentral is "tRNA-Arg". It matches the Rfam family "tRNA". From Rfam's summary of the family: Transfer RNA (tRNA) molecules are approximately 80 nucleotides in length. Their secondary structure includes four short double-helical elements and three loops (D, anti-codon, and T loops). Lineage: Bacteria; Pseudomonadati; Pseudomonadota; Betaproteobacteria; Nitrosomonadales; Methylophilaceae. The record is from RNAcentral.
GCCCACGUAGCUUAAUUGAAUAGAGCAUGAAUCUUCUAAAUUCAUUGAUGUAGGUUUGAAUCCUAUCGUGGGUGCCA